AGACUCCGUCUCAAAAAAAAAAAAAAGAAAAAAGAAAAACUACUUAGAUCUCAGGUCCAUGCAAUAUGCUUCAACCCAACCAUUUCUGGAGAACCCUACCUGGGCACAUCAGCCACUUGUGCUGUCCUGAGGAAUAGGGGUGGUUGUCAGGGCAGGAUUUGGGCACACCUGAGUUUCUGGUCAUGCUAUGCAACAUGCAACACCAAAUCUGAUUCACGACAACAAAUAUAAGAUUCGAGUCUCACCAAGUUUACAUUAUAGAGCGGGAUAUAUUCUUCUUGGUCCUCCUGCUUGGUUGCCAAGGCACAAGAUCAUGUUUUAAAAGUCACAGGCUCUUCCACGGGCUCCCCAGAAGGACCACCGUUUGUCUCUUCACUACCUGUGCAAAGCCUAAGGCUCUAUUUAACAUGCUUUUUCAACCCUGGAGAAAAUGUUUAAAAGAUGAGCAACUAAUGAUCCACAGAGUUCUGAUGAUGUUUUAUCUACAUUUUUUCCUUACAGACACAUUCCCAAGGAAUCCACUGGGUGAUCAACACUAGAACUUAAAUAUUGGGGAAAGGUUAGGAGGCUCUUUAAUUCCAAUUAAAAGAUCAGUAAAUUCCAAGUAGAAGACAACAGUGGAAAUCAGUUGGUAGAAAAUGUAUUACCUGUAAGAAAACACUUAAUGAAAGAGUCCUCUAGAAAAAAAAAAAAUACUAAUAAAACAGGUCAACGACUGUGAACAUAGAAAAGUUCUGUGUAAUAAAGCAUCCUGUUUUAUUUGCCUGGACAGUUUCUUUCUCUGGAGACACCUCUUCCCUAGUCUAUGUGGACCUGAGGGGCUAUUACAGGGUACUUCCUCCUUCCUCCUCCUUCUCGCCAACCACCACAAGCAUGGGCUUGAAACCCAGUCUGAUCAAUCUGAAUUCCCACGCACCCCCCCAAACCAUAGCAGUGAUUUCUUCAGAGAUGAUCAUGUGACUUGGAUCAGACCAGUUAGAUUCUUUGCUAGGACUUUUCUGGUAGAGCUUGUAAGAAAUAAUUCUUGCCUUUUGGGUCAUAAUACUGGGAGGGAGUAAGAUUGUAAGAUCCAGCACCCAUCUUCCUUACCUAAGAAGGGAAAAGCUAGUCUGUUAUGGGAAAGAAAAGAAUGAAAUCAAGAGAGAAAAGAAGCAAAGCUAAGAAACUGCAUCAAAGAAGUUCUGUUGACAGUUAUUGGUCACAUAGAUACAACUGAGCUCAAAUCCAGAGCUAUCCCUGGACUUCUCAGUUAAAUGGGCCAAUAAAUUCCCCUGCCUAAGCCAAUUUGACUCCGGUCCCCCCACCACCCCCACCAUAACUUAAAGGCUACUGACUAAUACAAGGGCCUUUUCUGCUACUUGCAAAGAUAAAUUUAUGAGGACAAGAAAGAUCCCACAUCCAGGAAUUUUCUGACUGAAAUGUUCUAUUGAAAUAACAAUAAACCACCUUUUUGAAGACGUUCCAUGCAAUUCACCUAAAUAUCUUACUGUCAUGCAUUAACCUUCACUAAUGGGCUCAGGAGUGAGCUUUGAUGCUGCCUUAAAAUACAGAAAAAAAUGAAAAGGGAUUCUACAGGAUCAUCAGACGUCUUCUGAAAGGAAAUUGCAAAGACAAGGUGUUCCAGAACGUCUCCUCAACAAUCUUCCAGUAUCACCUUCUCUCUGCUUCCAACCCUGCCUUCCGAAAUGCACUGAUUAAAGAAGGAAAGGAGUUAGCACUGACACCCGCACUAUGCCAGAGACUGCUGGUGUUUGGCACACGUCAUCUGAUUUUCCUGACAAACCUAUAAGAAUUAUCCCCAUUUUACAAAUGAGGACACCAAUACUCAUAUAGGAUAAGUGACUUGCCCAAGGCUACAUAGCUAGUACAUGCCAGAUCUAAAAAUUAAAACCUAUAUCUGUAUGAAUCCAAAUCUCUUGCUCUUUUCAGUUCAGGAAGCUGGAAUACCCACCACCAGUACUAUAUAUCUCCAAGGAGACAAUAAACGUGGUGAAGGGUGUAGAGGGAAAGCUUCAAUUCAGUUAAACCAUCAUUUAUCAAGUAUGCCAGUUGCUGUGAGGAAAGACACAUGUAUAAUACAUGUAAUAAUCUAUUUCAGAUGUGUAACAUUCUAUAUAAGAAUAUAAUUGGUCUGAUCUGAAUCACACGGUCAUCCCUAAGCAAAUUACUGCUGUGGAUUAGAAUUCUAAUUGACUAGAGCUUGCAGUAUUGUAGGGGAAACAGACUAUUACACAAACGAUUGCGUUUCAAGUACGAAUGAGGUUACAGUGGAAAGUCACAUGAGACCCUAAAGAGGGAAAAACAGAUUCCAACUGGGUAUGGCAGAGGAAUGCUUUAUGGAGGAGGAAUUAACCUAAGCUUAAGAGUGAGAUUUCAACAGAUAGAAAGUUUGAGAUAGGGAGGCCUUCUCCUUUGAAUAAAACAUUACAUAAAGUUGGCUAGCUGUACUCUUUUACUAUUUGGAUGGUACAGGGAACUAAAAGGGGUAAGACAAUGUAUUGAUUAGAAUGGGCUAGUUUAUGCUAUAGUAGAAAAGAACCCCAAAAAUCUCAGCUCAAGACAAUAGCACAUGUCUGACUUGACUAAAUGCUCACCACAGUGGGCUGUGAAGUUUGCUUCAUGUCUCUUUCACUCUAGGAUGCAGGAUGAUGAAGCAGCCUCUAUCAGGAACAUUGCUGGCCACUAUGACAGAAGAUAAUGGGAGGGAAGACAUUUAGGAAAGCUGAUUAUCUGGAAGCCCCUUUCUCUUAGUCCACUUGGAAUUCCCAGCAGGGACUGAAACUUCCAAGACUUUCAUCACUGCAACAGGAAUGCUGGCUGCCUCACGUGAUGACCGUGUUUUUUCUGGGUGCUCUGGCUGGUUAUUCACCUGUUGGCUCUCAGGCCUGUGUGCACCAUCUGCGUUCUACUCUGUAUCACAGCGCACUGGACACCUGGAAACUACAAUCCCACACUCCCUUCCCAGCUAAAUUCCAGUCAGGUUCAGCCAAUGGGAGGCGCUGGGGGAAACUAAAGAGCAGGAAGAAGGCAGAAGCCAUUGUUCAUUCUAUCUCUUUCUCUCUCUCCCUACCCCUCCUCUAGUUUCAGCAGCCCUCCAUCAAUGGCUCUGAGUAGCUAAGCCUGAAAUCCACUCCAGAGCAGGAGCCUCAGCAGCCUCCUGCUUCUCAAUCACUCAGUUUCUCCUUUUACUUCUUAGCCCUGGGAUGCUAGUGGUUUCCUGCAGUUACAACUCUUUCCAUAACCUUGCCUUCCCCUGACUGUUUUCCCAGCCCUUCCUUCACCCUUGCUACCGACUCUUGAAAUGCACAGAGGUGUUUUCUCUUCCUGUUUCAAACCUCACUAUUGGAAUACUCCCACAUUUCUGCCUAUAUUCAGUUGUAUAAAUAACAUCUGCUCAUAAAAGCUGGUUGCAUCUGCAAAGCAUAUCUUGAACCCCUGCCAUUCUUACUUAAACUCCAGGGACCUUCUUUUUCAAAUUCAAGUUAGCUGCUACUUCCUCAAAAUUUUUUUAAGGUAGUGUUUCCCAAUUUGCCUUACGAUACAAGUUGUUUGGGGGCACUUGUUUAAAAACACGGUUUCCCAAUCCCUCCCUAAACCUGAUGUAUCAAAUCACUUGGGGAGUAGCUUGGAAAUAUGUAUUUUUUUUUUUUUUUAGCUAUGGAGGUUGGGUGGGGGGGGUCUCACUAUGUUGCCCAAGCUAAUCUUGAACUCCUGGCCUCAAUCAAUCCACCCCCUUCAGCCCCCGAAACUAGCUGAGAUUAUAGUGCAAGCCACUACAUCAGGCUGAAAAUAUGUAGCUUUGACAAACACCCCAGGUGAUUCUAACCCUCAAGCAAGCUUGAGAAUCACUUGUGAGGAAUACGUUUUCUGAGGCCAAGUUUAUUCCUAUGCCCAUUAAUCGUUGAGACCCGCUGCCCCGUACAAUCAUCUUGGCUACAAUGGACAAUCCAAUCAGUUAUCUCCCCCUAUACAGAUAAAAAGCAAUGAUCACUGGCAGCUUAGUUUUUAAAGGCAAAAUUAAUCUGCCAAAAUGGCAUAAGUAGCAAUAAAAUUAUCUAUAAUUUUAAAACUGGGACUAUGUAAUUGAAAUGAAUAGGUUUAGGAAAUGGAAAGGCUUGGAUUUAAAUACCAAUGACAUCACUUAGUAACUAUAUGACAUGCAGCAAGCUGUUUAACCUCUUAGAGCUUCAGUCUUCUAUAAAACGAGAAUAAUAUCAUCUACUUCAAAGCUGUUCUGAGGAUUAAGUAAGAAUAUGUGUAAGUCACCUAGCUUGGUCCCUGGCCUGUAAAAGACAUCCAGUAAAUACAUGUUCCCUUCCUAACCGAUAAGAAGAAUGCUGGAUUUAUGGUAUAUUUGUAUUGUAUCAACCUGGUUGAACUGGAACUACAGUUCCCAAAAUGCCUCUUCCUGCAUAAUUCUGAGUUAGCAUGGAACACCAAAGACAGUUUGCUGGAGAGAGAUUCCAUCAAGCUGUCUUUGGAAGGAAAGCAGCACUAUGUUGUCUAUACAUAAUGAACAAGUAAAUAUAAAUAAACAGAUUGUGGUUUGAAAGGAUGUGAUCUGAUAGAAAUCAAAUGGGGAAAGGGAAGCACUAAAUAGCUAGCUGGCUUCCUUAGACAGGAUGACCUAGGAAGUCCUCUCUGAGGAAGUAGCAUUUAACCCCUCAUCCUGAUGCCUCAAGGAUAAGCUGACAGCCAAGCUAACAGCUGGAAGCAGAACUACCCAGGCAGAAAGAACUGCCAAUGUAAAGGCUUCAAGUAUGCCCUGGGCAUCUGGAGUAAAAUAGAGGAAGGAAAGAAGGAAUGGUGGAGAUUCAGAUAUGCAUGACCUUAAUAGGCUAUGGUUUUUUAAAAAAUGUGGGGAUUUUAUUUUAAGUGUAACAACCCCACUGAGGAGUCGGGGGUAUAAGUGGUGGGAUGUUAUAUAAUCCUUUUAAUGUUUUUAAUUUCAAAGAUCAUUUGUUUCACAUCUUUUAGAUUAUCAAAUAUUUUUUAAGUCAGACAAUAUCAGGUGUUGGAGACUAUAGGGAAAUGAGAACACUCAGACUGCUGGCGAAAAUGAGCUGUCAUGGGAUGCCCUCUCUCACCGCUCCUAUUCAACAUAGUGUUGGAAGUUCUGGCCAGGGCAAUCAGGCAGGAGAAGGA
This 5145-nucleotide long non-coding RNA is filed under the name Homo sapiens (human). Its description in RNAcentral is "HSALNT0061003". The record is from RNAcentral. Lineage: Eukaryota; Metazoa; Chordata; Mammalia; Primates; Hominidae.